UCAGAUUGAACGCGUGGCGGCAGGCUUAACACAUGCAAGUCGAGCGGGGAUAGGGUGCUUGCACCUGAUUCCUAGCGGCGGACGGGUGAGUAAUGCUUAGGAAUCUGCCUAUUAUGGGGGACAACGUUCCGAAAGGGACGCUAAUACCGCAUACGUCCUACGGGAGAAAGCAGGGGAUCUUCGGACCUUGCGCUAAUAGAUGAGCCUAAGUCGGAUUAGCUAGUUGGUGGGGUAAAGGCCUACCAAGGCGACGAUCUGUAGCGGGUCUGAGAGGAUGAUCCGCCACACUGGGACUGAGACACGGCCCAGACUCCUACGGGAGGCAGCAGUGGGGAAUAUUGGACAAUGGGGGGAACCCUGAUCCAGCCAUGCCGCGUGUGUGAAGAAGGCCUUUUGGUUGUAAAGCACUUUAAGCGAGGAGGAGGCUUACCUGGUUAAUACCUGGGAUAAGUGGACGUUACUCGCAGAAUAAGCACCGGCUAACUCUGUGCCAGCAGCCGC
RNAcentral lists this ribosomal RNA (501 nucleotides) under uncultured bacterium. Its description in RNAcentral is "bacterial SSU rRNA". It matches the Rfam family "Bacterial small subunit ribosomal RNA", at positions 24 to 518 of the family's 1533-position model. The record is from RNAcentral.